Molecule: unclassified non-coding RNA, 332 nt
Filed under: soil metagenome
Description: partial contains 5.8S ribosomal RNA, internal transcribed spacer 2, and large subunit ribosomal RNA
Rfam family: 5.8S ribosomal RNA (bases 1-120)
Source: RNAcentral
GAUGAAGAACGCAGCAAAAUGCGAUAAGUAAUGUGAAUUGCAGAAUUCAGUGAAUCAUCGAAUCUUUGAACGCACAUUGCGCCCGGCAGUAUUCUGGCGGGCAUGCCUGUUCGAGCGUCAUUUCAACCCUCAAGCACAGCUUGGUGUUGGGACUCGCGUUAAUUCGCGUUCCUCAAAUUGAUUGGCGGUCACGUCGAGCUUCCAUAGCGUAGUAGUAAAACCCUCGUUACUGGUAAUCGUCGCGGCCACGCCGUUAAACCCCAACUUCUGAAUGUUGACCUCGGAUCAGGUAGGAAUACCCGCUGAACUUAAGCAUAUCAAUAAGCGGAGGA